GGGGCUAUUUGGUGGAUGAGGAGUGUUUGACAUAUAUGGCAUGCUAGAGGAGUGGUCUCCCAAGAGAUAAUGAUCGAGGUGGAGCUGAAAAAGCAACUAUACAGCCUUCGAAUGCAGAACGGUGGGGAAGUAGUCGAGAUGCAUUCAGCAGUUCGACUAAAGCAUGAAUUUGGGGAGCCUUGGGAUGAUAGAGAUGGCUGAUCCACAUAGUGUCAUAGCUGAUUUAGAGGAGGAGGAGGUCCUUGGUGGUUUUGUAGAUAUCCACACAGUG
This 271-nucleotide long non-coding RNA is filed under the name Elaeis guineensis (African oil palm). Its description in RNAcentral is "long non-coding RNA (EGUI_LNC060684)". The record is from RNAcentral. Lineage: Eukaryota; Viridiplantae; Streptophyta; Magnoliopsida; Arecales; Arecaceae.